This 633-nucleotide long non-coding RNA is filed under the name Hordeum vulgare. RNAcentral's name for it is "long non-coding RNA (HVUL_LNC018441)". The record is from RNAcentral. Lineage: Eukaryota; Viridiplantae; Streptophyta; Magnoliopsida; Poales; Poaceae.
CCAUACCUUAGUCCGUCAGCCUUUUUCCGGUCCUGGUCCUUUCUAUGCAACUUUUGUGGCCUACUUGCCCUUGUUGUUUUCUAUAGGAUUUUUUGGACUUCUUUUGCAUUGUCGAUCUACGUCCAUGUGCCUUAGCCGCCGAGCUUCUUUCGCCGUCGGUUGUCGUGGACUAUGAGUUUCUGCACAAUGCUUUAUUCUCUUGAUGUGCCAUCUUCUUUUGACAACCCAUCUUCUCUUGAUACUUAUGUUGUAUCUUCAAGUGAUGCGGUGUCUUCCUCUGAUGUGCCAUCUCUUCGGUAUCUUCCUCUUGAUGUGCCAUCUUCUUUUGACAACCCAUCUUGUCUACCUAUGAUGUGCCAUCUCUUCGUUAUCUCCUUCGGCGACUCGACAAGUUUUGAAGACUCUUCAUGCUACGACGACACUCUCAAGACGCGGAUUUGGAUUAUCAUUUUUUUUAGUAUUACACUUCUUCAAAUGCAAUGCUAUUGCAUACGCUUUGCAUUUGAGGGGGGUGUUAGGAAGUAUUAGUAUUAGUCUAGGAGUCCUUAUUAGUAUUAGUAUUAGUCUAGGAGUCCUUAUUAGUCUAUGUUUACUUUCCUUGCACCUCAAGUCAUGUGUAAUAUAUAUAUGCCC